Pipistrellus kuhlii (Kuhl's pipistrelle) is the source of this 1684-nucleotide long non-coding RNA. RefSeq lists it as uncharacterized. NCBI's taxonomy places the organism in Eukaryota, Metazoa, Chordata, Mammalia, Chiroptera, Vespertilionidae. The record is from RefSeq and is a predicted model, not a curated record. The transcript has 2 exons.
UAACAAAAACAAAAACAAAACAAAACAAAACUAGCAAACAAACAAAACCCCCUCAGAAGCCACCUGCCCGGUGUUCCUGGUGACACAGGACCUGGCGGAGAAGCUGAGGCUGCUCGCUAGGAGGAGGAACUCCUCUGGAAGAAUAUCCUGAGGCUCUCGCGCACACACUGCACUGCCCACCAAGCCUGGCGAAGAGUUCUGCCACUUUUGCUGCUUGGCUGGUGAACAAAGCAGGAUGCCCCUUUGAGCAGCUUCAGGAAUAUGAUGACCCCAGUGCAACCAUACCUAACGUAUUAUCUGAGCUCUGAUCCCUUGGGAAAACUGUAGAUUUUCUUUCUUCAAAAUUAAAGUUGGGUUAUGGAGAGCCUAUAUGCUGUUCUCGGUUGUUUAGUUGAAGAUGCAUUAAAAUAUAUUGGUUUCACCUGGAAAAAAACCAGCAUGCAUGGAGGAGAGGGCCCUGGUCAGAUCCAGCUUUUAUAUCUUCCCCUGGGUAACUGGGCUGGGAAAGCAGACCCCCACAGCAUGACAGAGCUGAGGAACCCAGAGGUUCACACUUCUCACAUACUUCUGCCCAGCUACCUCAGAGGGGAAGGGAGGUGAGCUCAGACCCGUGGUCCAGCUGACAGGUCCUGCUUACCCAGUGACUUUAAGUACCGGUACACCAGAGCGGUGUGUGGGUUCCCACUGGAGAAGCUCAGAUGUGGAUGAGAAACACAAAACCAAGGUCUAGAGCUCGAUCUGGCUGGGGUCGGAUCAACAUCAGAUCUCAGGAUAAGGCUGGACGAGGGCUGGGCGUGGGAUCAGAGCUCAGACCAGGAUCAGGUUCUGUUCGGAAUGAGGACUCAGCUUGAGUUCAGGGCUCAAUCAGAGAUCAGGAUUGGAGUUCAGCCGUGGAUCAGGACGUAGCCUGAAGCCAGGAUGAGGGCUCAGUCUGCAGUCAGGACUUAGUUUGAGGUUGGGGUUGAUCCCCAGGCCACCUCUCAGUCAGCAUCUUGCACCCUAGACUCCAUCUCAGAGACAGCUUUCUGGGAAGCUCAACCUGCGACAGCUGAGUUUGAAGAAGAUGGGCAUGGUGUUUGCUGGAAGAAUGAGGAUCUGGGGCCAUCACCAGGGGAGACCAUCUCAGUCUCCCUGCUGAAAGGAUUGUUAUUUUGGACCAAAGUGGGAGAUCACCUCCGUUGUCUUCAGCCCUCAGUGCCCCUUCUUACUGCUGAACCCUGAGGAAGUGGCUGUCUGCUCUGAACCUCCAGCUGUCCCUCUCACAGGGGACCGGCAUCCAAACCAGGCGUGGGAAGGGAGUCUGAGAGCUGAGGCAGCACGAGGGUCUGCAUCCACUCAUCUGGGUUCUCUCAGCUGUCCCCAUGCUGUGUAGAAUCAUCAGUGAAAUGCCUUCACGGAGGCCUUGGCCACAAGGAUCAUCCAUCAAAGACUGUCCAUGCAUUUGCCUGACCCCUUUUUGAAAAGAUCCACUAUAUAAUUGUUCCCACUUGAGUUUGCUUCAAGGAGGUGUCUCACUGUAUAUGAGCCUGCUUUGUUGCUGUUGCUCAUACUUAAAUGAUGUCAAACACACUCCAAAGAGUCAAGAGGCUCUGACUAGAAAUAAAAUAACAAAGAUUUAUUCAAGGGUCUUACAAUUAGUAAACUAGAAACACAACUCAGAACAUUCAGAGUGUUCUGAAAGGGG